AUGAACGCUAGCGGGAGGCCUAACACAUGCAAGCCGAGCGGUAUUGUUUCUUCGGAAAUGAGAGAGCGGCGUACGGGUGCGGAACACGUGUGCAACCUGCCUUUUAUCUGGGGGAUAGCCUUUCGAAAGGAAGAUUUAAUACUCCAUAAUAUAUUGAUUGGCAUCAAUUAAUAUUGAAAGCUCCGGCGGAUAGAGAUGGGCACGCGCAAGAUUAGCUAGUUGGUGAGGUAAAGGCUCACCAAGGCGACGAUGGGUAGCCGGCCUGAGAGGGUGAACGGCCACACUGGGACUGAGACACGGCCCAGACUCCUACGGGAGGCAGCAGUAGGGAAUCUUCCGCAAUGGGCGCAAGCCUGACGGAGCGACGCCGCGUGAGUGAUGAAGGCCUUCGGGUCGUAAAGCUCUGUUCUUGAGGACGAAUAAGCCAGGGAGUGGAAAGCCCUGGUGAUGACUGUACUCAAGGAGAAAGCUCCGGCUAACUACGUG
Molecule: ribosomal RNA, 486 nt
Filed under: uncultured bacterium
Lineage: Bacteria
Description: bacterial SSU rRNA
Rfam family: Bacterial small subunit ribosomal RNA
Source: RNAcentral